AUGAUGUGUUACAGCGUGUGUGUCUGCUACUGGGAGGACUGGGAGCUUUAACCAAACACUACGAGAGAGAAUCUGAGUCUGAAUCCAUUAUUACUGUCUGGACCUUUCAGGGUUCUUACUGGGAAUACUGGGACUUCAUUAAAACGGUUUUUAGAAGUUUCUGCUUCUCUCACUUCCCAUACUAAAAACAAAUAAAGCAAACGUUUUGCAAAUAUUCUAGUCGAUUCUAACAUCAAUAUGCUACUGAGCCGUUUUCAAAAGUCGAUUGGAUGAGUUUCAGGGAGAAGAUGAUCUGCAGCAUCCUGCUGCUCAUCAUCCUGACCUCCUGUGUCUCUGGAACAUUUGUAGUGAAUGUGACCCAGACCUCCUAUCAGGCAGAGGAGAACCACGACAUCACACUGGAGUGGACCUUCACAACCAACCCUCACAGUUCCUCCAACUCUCUUAAUAUCUUCUGUGAACUGUUAACUGAUCUCAGACCCUCAGUCCUGUUUCAUCUCCAUGAAGGAGUUGAGGUCCCAGAGUCUCAGGAUGAACAGUUUGCAGGACGAGUCCAGUGGGACAAAGACGUCCUCAGAGAAGGACGACUCAGACUUCAUGUGUCCAGACUCAGGACUGAAGACUCAGGACUGUACAAGUGUCAAGUGUUCACAAGUCAUGAGAGGAGCUCUGGUAAAUGUUGGCUCAAUGUCACUGGUAAGUUGAUUCAGGAAAACUGGAGUUUUU
Long non-coding RNA from Sander lucioperca (pikeperch), 726 nucleotides. Lineage: Eukaryota; Metazoa; Chordata; Actinopteri; Perciformes; Percidae. The record is from Ensembl.